AUUGAACGCUGGCGGCAUGCUUUACACAUGCAAGUCGAACGGUAACAGGGUGCUUGCUCCGCUGACGAGUGGCGAACGGGUGAGUAAUAUAUCGGAACGUACCCAAGAGUGGGGGAUAACGUAGCGAAAGUUACGCUAAUACCGCAUACGAUCCAAGGAUGAAAGCAGGGGACCUUCGGGCCUUGUGCUCCUGGAGCGGCCGAUAUCUGAUUAGCUAGUUGGUGAGGUAAAGGCUCACCAAGGCGACGAUCAGUAGCUGGUCUGAGAGGACGACCAGCCACACUGGAACUGAGACACGGUCCAGACUCCUACGGGAGGCAGCAGUGGGGAAUUUUGGACAAUGGGCGCAAGCCUGAUCCAGCAAUGCCGCGUGAGUGAAGAAGGCCUUCGGGUUGUAAAGCUCUUUUGUCAGGGAAGAAACGGCUGUGGCUAAUAUCCACGGCUAAUGACGGUACCUGAAGAAUAAGCACCGGCUAACUACGUGCCAGCAGCCGCGGUAAUACGUAGGGUGCAAGCGUUAAUCGGAAUUACUGGGCGUAAAGCGUGCGCAGGCGGUUUUGUAAGUCUGUCGUGAAAUCCCCGGGCUCAACCUGGGAAUUGCGAUGGAGACUGCAAGGCUAGAAUCUGGCAGAGGGGGGUAGAAUUCCACGUGUAGCAGUGAAAUGCGUAGAGAUGUGGAGGAACACCGAUGGCGAAGGCAGCCCCCUGGGUCAAGAUUGACGCUCAUGCACGAAAGCGUGGGGAGCAAACAGGAUUAGAUACCCUGGUAGUCCACGCCCUAAACGAUGUCUACUAGUUGUCGGGUUUUAAUUAACUUGGUAACGCAGCUAACGCGUGAAGUAGACCGCCUGGGGAGUACGGUCGCAAGAUUAAAACUCAAAGGAAUUGACGGGGACCCGCACAAGCGGUGGAUGAUGUGGAUUAAUUCGAUGCAACGCGAAAAACCUUACCUACCCUUGACAUGUCAGGAAUGCCGAAGAGAUUUGGCAGUGCCCGAAAGGGAACCUGAACACAGGUGCUGCAUGGCUGUCGUCAGCUCGCGUCGUGAGAUGUUGGGUUAAGUCCCGCAACGAGCGCAACCCUUGUCAUUAGUUGCUACGCAAGAGCACUCUAAUGAGACUGCCGGUGACAAACCGGAGGAAGGUGGGGAUGACGUCAAGUCCUCAUGGCCCUUAUGGGUAGGGCUUCACACGUCAUACAAUGGUACAUACAGAGGGCCGCCAACCCGCGAGGGGGAGCUAAUCCCAGAAAGUGUAUCGUAGUCCGGAUCGUAGUCUGCAACUCGACUACGUGAAGUUGGAAUCGCUAGUAAUCGCGGAUCAGCAUGCCGCGGUGAAUACGUUCCCGGGUCU
Molecule: ribosomal RNA, 1352 nt
Filed under: uncultured bacterium
Lineage: Bacteria
Description: bacterial SSU rRNA
Rfam family: Bacterial small subunit ribosomal RNA
Source: RNAcentral